Molecule: transfer RNA, 86 nt
Filed under: Prosthecomicrobium pneumaticum
Lineage: Bacteria; Pseudomonadati; Pseudomonadota; Alphaproteobacteria; Hyphomicrobiales; Kaistiaceae
Description: tRNA-Leu
Rfam family: tRNA
About the family: Transfer RNA (tRNA) molecules are approximately 80 nucleotides in length. Their secondary structure includes four short double-helical elements and three loops (D, anti-codon, and T loops).
Source: RNAcentral
GCGGGCGUGGCGGAACCGGUAGACGCAACGGACUUAAAAUCCGUAGGGCAUCGCUCGUGUGGGUUCGAGUCCCACCGCCCGCACCA